AGCAGCAGAAGCAGCGGGUAGAAAAUGGCGGAUUUCGAGGAGCUGCGGAAUAUGGUAUCAAGUUUUCGUGUUUCUGAACUACAAGUGUUGUUGGGGUUUGCUGGACGUAAUAAAAGCGGGCGGAAACAUGACCUCCUGAUGAGGGCACUGCACUUACUGAAGAGCGGCUGCAGCCCAGCAGUUCAGAUAAAAAUCAGAGAACUCUAUAGGCGUCGGUACCCAAGGACGAUUGAAGGACUCUCGGAUUUAUCGGCUAUAAAACCUGCAGUUUUCAAUUUAGACAGUAGUUCCUCUCCUGUUGAGCCUGACCUGGCUGUUGCUGGCAUUCACCCGCUCCCUUCUACAUCGGUCACACCUCAGUCUCCUUCCUCGCCUGUCAGUUCUGUGCUCCUCCAAGACACUAAGCCCCACUUUGAGAUGCAGCAGCCAUCCCCUCCGAUUCCACCUGUUCAUCCCGAUGUUCAACUGAAAAGCCUACCUUUUUACGAUGUGCUUGAUGUGCUCAUAAAACCUACAAGUCUAGUACAGAGCAGUAUUCAGAGGUUCCAAGAGAAGUUUUUUAUCUUUGCCUUAACACCUCAGCAGGUCAGAGAAAUCUGUAUUUCCAGGGACUUCUUGCCAGGGGGCAGGAGAGAUUACACAGUCCAAGUUCAGCUGAGGUUAUGCCUAGCAGAGACAAGCUGCCCUCAAGAAGAUAAUUACCCUAAUAGUCUGUGUAUUAAAGUAAAUGGGAAGCUGUUUCCGUUGCCGGUAAGCUUGUGUGGAUAUGCUCCACCGCCAAAAAAUGGAAUUGAACAGAAGCGACCUGGGCGCCCCUUGAAUAUAACGUCUCUAGUUAGGUUGUCGUCAGCAGUGCCAAACCAGAUUUCCAUUUCCUGGGCUUCUGAAAUUGGAAAGAAUUACUCCAUGUCUGUGUAUCUUGUUCGUCAGCUCACUUCAGCUAUGCUUUUGCAGAGGUUAAAAAUGAAAGGUAUCAGAAACCCCGAUCACUCCAGAGCACUAAUUAAAGAAAAACUAACUGCAGAUCCUGAUAGUGAGAUUGCCACGACCAGCCUGCGGGUAUCUCUGAUGUGUCCUCUGGGAAAAAUGAGACUGACAAUCCCAUGCCGGGCUGUUACUUGCACACACCUGCAAUGUUUUGAUGCUGCUCUUUAUCUUCAAAUGAAUGAAAAGAAGCCUACCUGGAUCUGCCCUGUCUGUGACAAAAAGGCAGCUUAUGAGAGCCUAAUAUUAGAUGGGCUCUUUAUGGAAAUCCUUAAUGAAUGUUCAGAUGUGGAUGAGAUCAAAUUCCAAGAAGAUGGCUCCUGGUGCCCCAUGAGGCCAAAGAAAGAAGCUGUGAAAGUCUCAAGUCCACAGUGCACCAAAAUAGAAAGUUCCAGUGUUGUUAGCAAACAGUGUUCUGUGACAGUGGCCAAUGAGGUGAACAAGAAGAAAGUGGACGUUAUUGACUUGACAAUAGAAAGCUCUUCUGAUGAAGAGGAAGAUCCUCCUGCCAAAAGGAAGUGCAUAUUUAUGUCUGAAACACAAGGAAGCCCAACCAAAGGGGUUCUCAUGUAUCAGCCAUCUACUGUCAGAGUGCCCAGUGUGACAACGGUCGAUGCUGCUGCUAUUCCUCCUUCAUUAACAGACUACCCAGUACCAUUCCAUCAUCCACCAAUAUCCAGUAUUUCAUCAGACUUGCCAGACACAAAACGGGGAUGAUAUUAGAAAUGUUUCCUUAUUGGCUGCCCGUGGGUGGAGGAAGAGACCUGCUGCUUGUUUUUGGACUUGUGCAUGUUGUGACUUUACUUCAUUCCAGCAUCUUUAAUGUGAUGACACUCUUCAUGUCCCAGUUUGGCCAAGUCAGGUCUGGAUUUUCUUUCACUAAUCCCAGUUGAUUCACAGUACUGUCCUCCUAUGUUUUUGGAUAGUCUCACCUCAACCUUAACAAGCAGCACGCCUGGCAGCAUCAUCACAUCAACCAGUCACCACGAGAGCAGCACGCACGUUAGCUCCUCCAGCAGGAGCGAGACAGGGGUGAUAACCAGCAGCGGCGGCAGCGCUCCUGACAUCAUCUCACUGGACUGAAACAAGGGGCAGCACCGGACUCCAGGAGAAACUGCACGGAGCUGCUGCUUGUAUCUCUGGAACUUCAGCAUCUCGGAAGUUAUUCUGAUAUUUAUUGAAAGGAUUUCCCUUCUGGAAAAUGGAGUAAAUUCAUCUACACUAGGAACAGAAGUGAUAGACUUUUUUGUUUUGUUUUGUUUUUUUUCCUUGCUCAUUAAAUAGCUGGUAUAGAAAAGGCCCCUUCAGAACAUGCUUUUAUGCUUUUGGCUUGUUCUGGGGAAACUGACAUUUUGUUGCUGGGUGGAUUCCACAAAUGGUUUUUAAUUUUGUUGUAAAACACAGCAAUAAUGUAAAAACAAACAAAAACUUUUUUUAAUAAAAAAAGGCACUUAACCACUCUAGAACAACAGCCUGGGCAAAGGUGCAGAAGUGUAUGCAUUGGUGAAUUUUUAAUAUUUUCACUGGGGCCUGUAAUAAACUUCAUUUAAGACAAUGAAGCUUUGUGAAAUAGCCAUGACUUGUGUUGUAUGUCUCUUGUUUCCCACUUCCCCCUUACCUGGGGAUGUAGGGGAAGCCUCUGUAAAUGGGAUUGGUUGGGGGUUUUUUUGUUUGUGGUUUUUUUCCUCCUGAUUUUGUGUUUUUCACAAAUGCAACAAAAACCUAAGCUUUGACUUCUUCCUCUUAAUGUUCUUUGGGCUGGGGAGGGGACAAACUAUCUAUGCAAACUCUGCAUUACACAAUCUCUGUGCCGUCAUGUCAGAAUGGGGCCACCUCCCCACCUCCAAAAACUCCAGACUAUGCACAGUUGAGCUGUAGCUGAAUUUCUGGUUUGAUAACUUUAAGAGAUGAUAGAAAAAAAAGCCUUUAAACUCAGAUUAUAAGGUGGUUGUUGGCCCUCUGAAAUUACCACCCCUGACCAGUUGAUCAAGUGAAGUGUGUGCUUUCUAUGGCAGCUGUAAGGAGAAAAAUAGGAAUUACUUUCUCCAGUGCAGGAUAAUUUUCUAGGAUCUCUUGCUUGUGGCUUCUGUCACUUCAGUAACUGCCAUGUUCUUUUGGGAAUACCCCACUCUGACAUGCCAUGGGGGAAGGUUGGCUUUUUGGAAGACAAAAGCUGUAGCUGCACAGUGUUCCCACCUAACUGGAAUUACGUGUUUAGGGCUUAAUGAUGCUUUGUCCCACAUUACAUGGCCUCCUAAUCAUGGCUUUCCUAAUUCAAUGGGAAUAACUUCCUCAUGUUUUACUCCCCUGGUCAAUCUGCUGCUUUGCUGUGUGGAUGCAGUGUCUCCCCACACACCUCUAAGGAUAAUCUCCACAGUACGGUAUGUGGAAGAGGUUACAGACAAGGAAAAUCAAGUCAUUUCCAUAGAGCUGGAAUAAUGGUAUUGUCUAUGUUGACACAGCAGCUUUCCCCAGUGUUGUGUUUCUGUUGAGUAACUGUAUUUGAGAUUAUUCCUUCCCUAAUUACCAGCUUUCACUUUUUCCUGAUUUUGUGUUCCUUUUUUCUUAUUUCUUUAGUCAGAUGUCUUGUACUUUUUGCCUUCCACUACUGUUAACAGUAUUUGAACGAAGUACAAAUGGAUAAGAAAUACUGAAGCAGGAUGUAUUGUAACUCUUGCCUGCCCUGUACUCCCACUUUUAAUGCAGCA
RNA transcript from Haliaeetus leucocephalus (bald eagle), 3692 nucleotides. It is a transcript of the gene named protein inhibitor of activated STAT, 2, with no coding region annotated. NCBI's taxonomy places the organism in Eukaryota, Metazoa, Chordata, Aves, Accipitriformes, Accipitridae. The transcript has 15 exons. The record is from RefSeq and is a predicted model, not a curated record.